RNAcentral lists this ribosomal RNA (452 nucleotides) under uncultured bacterium. RNAcentral describes it as "bacterial SSU rRNA". It matches the Rfam family "Bacterial small subunit ribosomal RNA", at positions 64 to 507 of the family's 1533-position model. The record is from RNAcentral.
GAACGGUAGCACAGAGAGCUUACUCUUGGGUGACGAGUGGCGGACGGGUGAGUAAUGUCUGGGAAACUGCCCGAUGGAGGGGGAUAACUACUGGAAACGGUAGCUAAUACCGCAUAACGUCUUCGGACCAAAGUGGGGGACCUUCGGGCCUCACACCAUCGGAUGUGCCCAGAUGGGAUUAGCUAGUAGGUGGGGUAACGGCUCACCUAGGCGACGAUCCCUAGCUGGUCUGAGAGGAUGACCAGCCACACUGGAACUGAGACACGGUCCAGACUCCUACGGGAGGCAGCAGUGGGGAAUAUUGCACAAUGGGCGCAAGCCUGAUGCAGCCAUGCCGCGUGUAUGAAGAAGGCCUUCGGGUUGUAAAGUACUUUCAGUGGGGAGGAAGGCGAUGGAGUUAAUAGCUUCGUCGAUUGACGUUACCCGCAGAAGAAGCACCGGCUAACUCCGUG